AGAGCGAACGCUGGCGGCAGGCUUAACACAUGCAAGUCGAGCGGGCGUAGCAAUACGUCAGCGGCAGACGGGUGAGUAACGCGUGGGAACAUACCUUUGGUUCGGAACAACCCAGGGAAACUUGGGCUAAUACCGGAUAAGCCCUUACGGGGAAAGAUUUAUCGCCGAAAGAUUGGCCCGCGUCUGAUUAGCUAGUUGGUGAGGUAACGGCUCACCAAGGCGACGAUCAGUAGCUGGUCUGAGAGGAUGAUCAGCCACAUUGGGACUGAGACACGGCCCAAACUCCUACGGGAGGCAGCAGUGGGGAAUAUUGGACAAUGGGCGCAAGCCUGAUCCAGCCAUGCCGCGUGAGUGAUGAAGGCCCUAGGGUUGUAAAGCUCUUUUGUGCGGGAAGAUAAUGACGGUACCGCAAGAAUAAGCCCCGGACUAACUUCGUGCCAGCAGGCCGC
This 449-nucleotide ribosomal RNA is filed under the name uncultured bacterium. RNAcentral's name for it is "SSU rRNA". It matches the Rfam family "Bacterial small subunit ribosomal RNA", at positions 26 to 518 of the family's 1533-position model. The record is from RNAcentral.